GACCUGCUAAAACGCCUGGGAGUUGUCCGGCCUCCGGAGCCGUGUGCGCAGGUUCGAAUCCUGCCGGGGGCA
This 72-nucleotide transfer RNA is filed under the name Streptomyces caeruleatus. RNAcentral's name for it is "tRNA-Arg". Lineage: Bacteria; Bacillati; Actinomycetota; Actinomycetes; Kitasatosporales; Streptomycetaceae. The record is from RNAcentral.